CCCUAGUAAAGGAAUCAAAGCCUGCAACUUCAUUCGCGUUCGAAGAGCUUUUGACCGUCUCUGGAGUGUAGUCCUACCAUGGCGUCUGCAUGUAGGUUCAUCAGAAGAACGGCUCUUCCGUUCAUCAAAUCCGCCGUUAAAUCAAAUGUUCGAACAACAUCACUUGGGGCGACUGUAACAGCGCCAGCUUCAAGAGUCCCUCUCUCAAACUGUACAGCUCCUGGUCGUCGGUUUUCCUUGUUGAGCAGAUCUCCAGCGGAACUUGGAGGCGUGCAAUCUCUGUUGCCUCUCCACAGCGCCGUUGCAGUUGCGAAGCUUACGUCAUGUCUGAGCUCGAACUCGAGGAGUUGCCGCGCUCUCUCACAGGGUACCCUCUGCCGUACCUCUCCCGGACUCUAAUGUUUUUUUGUUUGAGUGCACAUGAAUCUCCCAAUGAUUGAAAGAAAUAGAUUGGGCUUUGACCUGCGAACCAUGAUUCACAGCAUCAUCAAAUGGAAUUGAUGGUACGUGAAUCGUUUUGCUUCAUGCUGUUUUAGAAGAGCUCGGCCUAUCCGUUCCAAGGUGACAGUGCAAGCAGAUAACCAUUGUUACGACAUUUAUCUUCUCACAUUCAGACAUAUGAGGCUUUUGUAGUUCCUACUCAACAACUGCUUUGGAAAUCAUUAUGGAGCAGUGAAACUGGUUUUGAUUUUUACCAACUGAGAUAAAACUAUUUUUUUUUUUGAUAAAGAAAA
RNA transcript from Telopea speciosissima, 734 nucleotides. It is a transcript of the gene named protein NONRESPONDING TO OXYLIPINS 2, mitochondrial-like, with no coding region annotated. The record is from RefSeq and is a predicted model, not a curated record. The transcript has 5 exons. Lineage: Eukaryota; Viridiplantae; Streptophyta; Magnoliopsida; Proteales; Proteaceae.